RNAcentral lists this ribosomal RNA (480 nucleotides) under uncultured Prochlorococcus sp. RNAcentral's name for it is "bacterial SSU rRNA". It matches the Rfam family "Bacterial small subunit ribosomal RNA", at positions 141 to 653 of the family's 1533-position model. The record is from RNAcentral. Lineage: Bacteria; Bacillati; Cyanobacteriota; Cyanophyceae; Synechococcales; Prochlorococcaceae.
GGAUAACGGUUGGAAACGACCGCUAAUACCCCAUAUGCCGAGAGGUGAAAUGAAUUUCGCCUGAGGAUGAGCCCGCGUCUGAUUAGCUUGUUGGUGAGGUAAUGGCUCACCAAGGCUUCGAUCAGUAGCUGGUCUGAGAGGAUGAUCAGCCACACUGGGACUGAGACACGGCCCAGACUCCUACGGGAGGCAGCAGUGGGGAAUUUUCCGCAAUGGGCGAAAGCCUGACGGAGCAACGCCGCGUGAGGGACGAAGGCCUCUGGGCUGUAAACCUCUUUUCUCAAGGAAGAAGAUAUGACGGUACUUGAGGAAUAAGCCACGGCUAAUUCCGUGCCAGCAGCCGCGGUAAUACGGGAGUGGCAAGCGUUAUCCGGAAUUAUUGGGCGUAAAGCGUCCGCAGGCGGCCUUUCAAGUCUGCUGUUAAAACGUGGAGCUUAACUCCAUCAUGGCAGUGGGAAACUGAUAGGCUUGAGUAUGGUA